This 103-nucleotide microRNA precursor is filed under the name Marmota monax (woodchuck). Lineage: Eukaryota; Metazoa; Chordata; Mammalia; Rodentia; Sciuridae. The record is from RNAcentral.
AGUGGGAUAACUGGGUCAAAUGUUGGUUCCACUCCAAGUUUUCUGAGGAAUCUCCACACUGCUUUCCAGAGUGAAUUCACCAAUUUGCAGUCCCACCAGCAAU